AACACAGGUCUGGAUCACAUGAUCCUACAAUCAUGACCUGACCCAAAAUCAAGAGUCUGAUGCUCAGCUGACUGAGCCACCCAGGUGCUCAAUAGUCUCUUUCUCUCUGAAUGCUGAAUAGUAAAUUUUCAACGUGAAUGGGGGGAUAAACAGGCAUACAUACAUACAUACAUACACCACUAAGAAAGCCAUGAGUUGUUAGACAUGAACUAUUUUCCAUCAUCUUUGUCUUCUAGUUAUAUUCAUGCCUCAAGGUGUUUGUUGAUUGCAAUGCACGAUCUUGUUGUGUGAGGUACAAAUUGUUGUGUGAUCAGUUUUCCGUGAAAGUCUUUCCUCAUAUCUGUCUUAACCACAAGAUGCAAAUGUUGAAUUUGAGGAUGUAGAGCUAAGAGCCUUGAGGUCCAAUAACUGUCAACUAGAAGUUAUAUUUUCUGUUGGAGAGAAAUCCCCAUAUGAUGGCAAUGACUUUGCAUUGGUAAGGGAAAGAAUACUUUCAUGCCUUCAUGGUUCUUGCACUUUUUCUGUCUCACCAAAAUCAAGACUCAGGUCAUGUGCACGUUUAUCAAGAAAACACCUUUUUUUUCCAGAAAAUAAAAAUGCCCUGGAAGACAAGUGUAAUGCAUUUGAGGCCUGUGAAAGCCACAAAAGAAGCAAAAGUCAAACAGCUGAAGGAGAAAGCACAUAACCUGGAAUAAUUCUAUGAACAAAUAAAAGUGCCUACAAAAAAGAAGCUGAAAAUGACACUGUGAACCGGCGGCAAAGAAGAAUCAGCUGGCAGCUGCAGGCAACAAAUUGAACAAACACGGGAACAGUAACCUGAGUUCUGCCUGACAUACUGAACCCUUAGCACCUCACGCGGGUGAGUGUAGUGGCCCUUGGAAUCCCUAACCACGGGCUUUUCAUUGUUGGCUUUUUCAGCUCGCAGUUCAUGAGAAGAAUGCUCAGGACAACUAGGUAAGUGUUUUCUUGUUUCCUCCUCUUUCUUUGGUGCGCAGUCUGGCACCACCUUCCGACUGAAAGUGGAUGUGUUUUUUCUCCCCCAGAUCAAGACUCAGAUCUGGGACAGGGAGAUGGUGGAGCAGGACAGGGAGGUCGCUUACUUGAAAUACAGACUGAACGGGAUGGAAGCAAAGAGGCUGCCUGAGGGAUACACAAGGCAGAAACCAAUCACUGCAAGAACUCUCCAAAGAGAGGGCAGUCUGGAUCCUGGGGACCUCCUCCAUUAACUGGACGAUUCUGCAUGCCCUACCCUGGAGACGCCCCGCCCCCAUGGACUAUUAGGCACGUCCACCUCUUGAACCUUGGUGGCCCUGAGGCCACCUGGAACCCCUCCACCUGCAACACUUGGCUAUUUUGUAUGCAAGAGUCCUGGUCCUUUCCCAGGAUUGCCUUGCAGGCUGUACCCCAUGGGCCACCUUUCACCACCAUUCAUGGGCUAUAGGCCACAUCCCCCUCCUCCACCUACUCUAUUCGUUAAGAUGACCUGAACUGGAUGAGUGGCUGGACAACUCUUUUGAAAUUUGAAGAGGACUGUGCACGGUGACAGACUAUGGUGAUUAUAUAUACAUUUUAAGAAGGUGGCAGAUCUACCUGAAUGCUUUCUCUGCCCAUCAUGUCCCCUCCACUUUGUCCUUCCUACUAUCCCCUAAUCUACCUUUCAUCAUUUUGUCUCUGUGUCAGCGUCUGCUUCUAGGGCCAUCUACUCUCACUCCCCAUUGAGUGCACACAGUGGGGUUCCUGUACACACAGGUAACAAAGUGCCAGAAAUGGUGGUGAUGGAGGAUAGAAGCAAGAUCACCCUUUCUGCAGGGGAGCCUGAGGGAGUUUUCCGGGGUGAUGGGAACUUCCUAUAUCUAGAUUGAUGGGGUGCUUAUGCUCAAUUAUUUUGGAAAUAUUCCCUGACUCCGUGGUGCCUUGGGGUCAGACAGGUAUCUGUCCUUAGGAAAUGGCUGAGUUCUAAUGGUGGAGAAGGAUGAGGGACCAGCAGUGACUGUGGUAGAGGAGUAAGGGUCAGACCCACGCCCAGGAUGCCAGGUCUCCACAGACAGCACCACAUGUAGGAGGACUCUGAGGAGCAGAGAUUUCUUGAUCAGACCCAUGAACUACAUAAUCCUCCUGUAGUUUCCUCACUGAGCGAUAGCAGAGCAGAGACCAGCAGCUGGAGGACACCCUUAUCAUGGCUGGAAUGGAGCAGUGGGCCUGGGGGAUUGAGUCAGGGAAAGGGACAGGCAGAAGGUAGUGACAGGGAGUUUGAGAGACAAAUGGAAGAGAAGAGAAGGGACCCUUCUCUGCUGACUUCACCUACAUUUCUGUGUGACCAAAACGAGACCCUUGUCUCCCAGGGAAGGGAAGAGGGCUGGCAAAACACCGAGUGACAUACUCAGCUCAAGUGCCCAGGGUAUCUGCCUUGCUCUUGAGUACCUAACACAGGAAGCACAUGAUUUCUGUCAUGAUUGGAACUGCAGCUCUUACCAUUUAGUGAAAAUCAAUCCAAUUAUGCAUCCCUCAGCAUUAAAGUACUGCAACAAAAUUAAGUGAACAGACUGAAAGAUAUAACACAGGAUAAAGUCCAAAGGUAGACUGACUGCAAUACUUACAGGAAUACAGUCUAUCCAAAAAGGAGGUAGGUACCCUAGUGCAGGCAUUCAGACACCUGGGCAAUAUCUGAAAAC
Long non-coding RNA from Felis catus (domestic cat), 2672 nucleotides. RefSeq lists it as uncharacterized. Lineage: Eukaryota; Metazoa; Chordata; Mammalia; Carnivora; Felidae. The record is from RefSeq and is a predicted model, not a curated record. The transcript is spliced from 7 exons.